GCAUGGGAUAGCUCAGUCGGUAGAGCAUGAGGCUCUUAAUCUGAGGGUUGUGGGUUCGAGCCCCAUCCUGGGUA
This 74-nucleotide transfer RNA is filed under the name Podarcis lilfordi (Lilford's wall lizard). RNAcentral describes it as "tRNA.Lys". The stretch from base 9 to 66 matches the Rfam family "tRNA", at positions 8 to 63 of the family's 71-position model. Rfam says of the family: Transfer RNA (tRNA) molecules are approximately 80 nucleotides in length. Their secondary structure includes four short double-helical elements and three loops (D, anti-codon, and T loops). The record is from RNAcentral. Lineage: Eukaryota; Metazoa; Chordata; Lepidosauria; Squamata; Lacertidae.